GAACUGAAGAGUUUGAUCAUGGCUCAGAUUGAACGCUGGCGGCAGGCCUAACACAUGCAAGUCGAACGCGAAAAUUCCUUCGGGAAUGAGUAGAGUGGCGGACGGGUGAGUAACGCGUGGGAAUCUACCUGGUAGCGGGGGAUAACUCGGGGAAACUCGAGCUAAUACCGCAUACGCCCUACGGGGGAAAGGAGGGGAUCUUCGGACCUUUCACUAUCAGAUGAGCCCGCGUUAGAUUAGCUUGUUGGUGAGGUAAUGGCUCACCAAGGCGACGAUCUAUAGCUGGUCUGAGAGGAUGAUCAGCCACACUGGGACUGAGACACGGCCCAGACUCCUACGGGAGGCAGCAGUGGGGAAUCUUGGACAAUGGGGGCAACCCUGAUCCAGCCAUGCCGCGUGAGUGAAGAAGGCCUUAGGGUUGUAAAGCUCUUUCAGCAGGGACGAUAAUGACGGUACCUGCAGAAGAAGCCCCGGCUAACUCCGUGCCAGCAGCCGCGGUAAUACGGAGGGGGCUAGCGUUGUUCGGAUUUACUGGGCGUAAAGCGCACGUAGGCGGAUAGUCAAGUCAGGCGUGAAAGCCCCGGGCUCAACCCGGGAACUGCGCUUGAUACUGAUUGUCUUGAGUCCGAGAGAGGGUGGUGGAAUUCCCAGUGUAGAGGUGAAAUUCGUAGAUAUUGGGAAGAACACCAGUGGCGAAGGCGGCCACCUG
Molecule: ribosomal RNA, 709 nt
Filed under: Spongiibacter sp.
Lineage: Bacteria; Pseudomonadati; Pseudomonadota; Gammaproteobacteria; Cellvibrionales; Spongiibacteraceae
Description: bacterial SSU rRNA
Rfam family: Bacterial small subunit ribosomal RNA
Source: RNAcentral